AAGACUGCUUAAAGCUUUGUGCCAAAGACCAGGAGCUUUCUGCAAGGAAACGAACAUCUGCUCUGUAAGAGUCCAGUUUCACAUGGACUGAGCAACACCAGGAGAUAAGGACCCCCACAAACCUUCUCACAUUCUGCUGGAAGUGCAAGGUCCCAACCCCAGAUUUCCCACCAGUCUGGAGUAACGUUUGGAGGAGCCUGGCAGCAUGGUUCUUCUAGUAGCUCCCAAGGAUAUUGAGGAUCAUGGGAUGUAUGGACCCCCCCAAACCGUCUGGAGAAUGUCGGCUGCAGAUAAGAGCAUCUCAAGUUCCUGCCAUCUUUUUAUCCUGUUUUUUUCCUGGGUCGCCCCAUGUCAUUCGGGAAGGAAGCCUCUCUGGCCUGAGGAUUAUAGCAAACUGGUCACUUGCUGGAAUACCUCCUCUUGCGUUUUCUCAAGAUGGAGCCAUUGCUUUACCCAGCAGAAGGAUAUUUUUUUCUUCUCCCAGAGCUUUUCCAGUGCAGCAACGCUUAUGGCCAACAGGUUGGGAAGAAGCAGUGAACUGUCACAAGACGUGUCUUUGAUGAAGCCGCCAAAGCAAGAAUAUCUGCUCGCCUCCCGAAUCCUUUGCAUUGCUUUGAGGGGCUCUGCAGAGCCGAAGGUGUCGACAGGCUGUUUUCUUGGGCUGCCAUCUGCUGAGCAGCAUUAUGUGGAUUAAUAUUGAGGAACUUGUAGUGAAAUUUGUCUCAUGCCACGAAAAUGUAAAGCCUCUGAAGCUGGCUGGCAUCCCAAGGCUGCGAGGGGCCCUUGGAGGGGCCGCUCGGUGAAGGUGGCAGGAUUUGUGCCGUCCUGAAGCCGUGAAGUGGGACAUGAUCUGAGGAGUUUGUAAUUAGGUUUUAAUCAUCUCCAAGCUGGUCUGGUUGCUGAUUUUGGGCAGCAGACAAAAACCACCAGCCAGGAAUGGCUGCCACGGGGCCAGCCUGCCACCGAGGGCGGGCAUCUGCCCAGUCUUCUGGCCCUGCGGCGUGGUUCCCAGUUCAGAAACAAAAUGCUGGUUUUGGGCCAUUUUUUAUUCUGAGGGUAUUUCUUGAGCUGGAAUCAAAUCUCGCACCCAUCCUCCUGGUUUUUCCCUGGCAAUGUUUGGGGAUGCUAUGGUUUUGCUGGUUCU
This 1144-nucleotide long non-coding RNA is filed under the name Calidris pygmaea (Spoon-billed sandpiper). Its description in RNAcentral is "lncRNA (ENSCPGG00000005178.1)". Lineage: Eukaryota; Metazoa; Chordata; Aves; Charadriiformes; Scolopacidae. The record is from RNAcentral.